Molecule: long non-coding RNA, 435 nt
Organism: Haemorhous mexicanus (house finch)
Lineage: Eukaryota; Metazoa; Chordata; Aves; Passeriformes; Fringillidae
Exons: 3
Source: RefSeq, a predicted model, not a curated record
AGGAGGGGACGGGGACCCACGUGGCUCCAGCGCUGCCUGAAUUCACAGCAGCCCGGGAGCAUCGCCCCCCAUUCCGCAGGAUUUCCCAUUCCCAAACCUUGGCCACAUGGAGGAGGAAGAGGCUUUGAGGAAGAAGAUGAUGCCUCAGGACACCCAGGCAGGGAAGGAGCUGAGGAUGGAGACCAGGGAGGACAAAUCCCCACAGCAGAACCUCGUGGAAGAGGCUGUGUUGAGCCGCUCCAGGGCACAGGAAUCCAAUGGGGAAGAAAAGCCCUGGGGAUCUUGCAGGAGGAGGGGCUGCAAACCCAGCCCAGGGUGCUCUGAGGAGGAAAGACCCACCCUGACCAGGAAAGUGGGCAGAGCUUCAGCCAGAGCUCAAAGCUGGUGGUCCAUGAGCUGCUUCAUGAUGGAGAGAAGCCCUACAAGUGCUUGGAA